RNAcentral lists this long non-coding RNA (639 nucleotides) under Manihot esculenta (cassava). Its description in RNAcentral is "long non-coding RNA (MESC_LNC002393)". The record is from RNAcentral. Lineage: Eukaryota; Viridiplantae; Streptophyta; Magnoliopsida; Malpighiales; Euphorbiaceae.
CGGAUUUGGGUUUUUACAAAACGGAUUUGGGCGGAUUCGGGUUUGAAAAAUUUUACCCGUCUCGGAUUCGGGUAGGGUUCGGGAUUAGGUGAUCGGAUACCCGUUACCCGAACCCGAUUAACUAUACUAACAAAACUAACCCUAAUCCCUAAUUUAUUUUUUCAUUUUACUCUUUCCUCUCUUCGUCUACGUCUCUCUCUCCGUCGCUUCCCUUCCCAUAGUUCUCAGUCACGCCUCUCCCCUACUUCACUGCCGGCAGCCCAGUCGUCACCGGCGAUGUCUCCUUUCUCUCCCCAGUCGACAAUAAAUCUUCUCUCUCCCCCGUUAGCAAUAUCUCCUUCUCUCUCUCCAGCAGCGACAUCUCCGACUUUCCAGUUGAAGACAACUCUUCUCUUUGCCCGGUCGGCGUCGGCGAUAUCUCCUUCUCUCUCCCCAGUCGGGUGAAAUCUACUCUUUUCGAUUUACGCUUCUCUCCCCGCACUUCACUGACGCUAGAGACAACCCUUCUCUCCUCAAUCGGCGACAUCUGCUUUGACUAGAACUCUCUUCAGGUUUCAAGAUCUUUUAUGUGUAUAUUCUUAAAGAAUUUUAUAAUUUAUGAACUAUUAAUCUGAUUAUUUGGAUAUGUUAAAAAAUCUA